CACGUAGGGGGCGAGCGUUGUCCGGAUUUACUGGGCGUAAAGAGCGCGCAGGCGGUCGAUCAAGUCGAGUGUGAAAGCCCCCGGCUCAACUGGGGAGGGUCAUUCGAAACUGGUCGACUCGAAGGCAGGAGAGGGUAGUGGAAUUCCCGGUGUAGUGGUGAAAUGCGUAGAUAUCGGGAGGAACACCAGUGGCGAAGGCGACUACCUGGCCUGUUCUUGACGCUGAGGCGCGAAAGCUAGGGGAGCAAACGGG
RNAcentral lists this ribosomal RNA (253 nucleotides) under uncultured bacterium. RNAcentral describes it as "partial 16S ribosomal RNA". It matches the Rfam family "Bacterial small subunit ribosomal RNA", at positions 524 to 776 of the family's 1533-position model. The record is from RNAcentral.